RNAcentral lists this ribosomal RNA (492 nucleotides) under uncultured bacterium. RNAcentral's name for it is "partial 16S ribosomal RNA". It matches the Rfam family "Bacterial small subunit ribosomal RNA", at positions 29 to 507 of the family's 1533-position model. The record is from RNAcentral.
AGUGAACGCUGGCGGUAGGCCUAACACAUGCAAGUCGAACGGCAGCACGGUAAGAGCUUGCUCUUACGGGUGGCGAGUGGCGGACGGGUGAGGAAUACAUCGGAAUCUACUUUUUCGUGGGGGAUAACGUAGGGAAACUUACGCUAAUACCGCAUACGACCUACGGGUGAAAGCAGGGGAUCUUCGGACCUUGCGCGAUUGAAUGAGCCGAUGUCGGAUUAGCUAGUUGGCGGGGUAAAGGCCCACCAAGGCGAUGAUCCGUAGCUGGUCUGAGAGGAUGAUCAGCCACACUGGAACUGAGACACGGUCCAGACUCCUACGGGAGGCAGCAGUGGGGAAUAUUGGACAAUGGGCGCAAGCCUGAUCCAGCCAUACCGCGUGGGUGAAGAAGGCCUUCGGGUUGUAAAGCCCUUUUGUUGGGAAAGAAAAGCAGCAGGUUAAUACCCCGCUGUUCUGACGGUACCCAAAGAAUAAGCACCGGCUAACUUCGUG